GCCUAGCUGGCUCAGUCAGAAGAGCAUCAGACUCUUGAUCUUGGAAUUGUGAGAUUGAGCCCCACAUUGGGCA
Molecule: transfer RNA, 73 nt
Filed under: Canis lupus familiaris (dog)
Lineage: Eukaryota; Metazoa; Chordata; Mammalia; Carnivora; Canidae
Also listed under: 1 other name
Rfam family: tRNA
About the family: Transfer RNA (tRNA) molecules are approximately 80 nucleotides in length.
Source: Rfam by way of RNAcentral